CCCAGACUCCUACGGGAGGCAGCAGUGGGGAAUAUUGCACAAUGGGGGAAACCCUGAUGCAGCGACGCCGCGUGAGUGAAGAAGUAAUUCGUUAUGUAAAGCUCUAUCAGCAGGGAAGAAAAUGACGGUACCUGACCAAGAAGCCCCGGCUAACUACGUGCCAGCAGCCGCGGUAAUACGUAGGGGGCAAGCGUUAUCCGGAUUUACUGGGUGUAAAGGGAGCGUAGACGGCUGUGCAAGUCAGAAGUGAAAGCCCGGGGCUCAACCCCGGGACUGCUUUUGAAACUGCGUGGCUGGAGUGCAGGAGAGGUAAGCGGAAUUCCUGGUGUAGCGGUGAAAUGCGUAGAUAUCAGGAGGAACACCAGUGGCGAAGGCGGCUUACUGGACUGUAACUGACGUUGAGGCUCGAAAGCGUGGGGAGCAAACAGGAUUAGAUACCCCUGUA
Molecule: ribosomal RNA, 445 nt
Filed under: uncultured bacterium
Lineage: Bacteria
Description: bacterial SSU rRNA
Rfam family: Bacterial small subunit ribosomal RNA
Source: RNAcentral